UGACCGUGCGAAGGUAGCAUAAUCAUUAGUCUUUUAAUUGAAGGCUUGUAUGAAUGGUUGGACGAGAAGUAAUCUGUCUCUGUUGAAAAAAUUGAAUUUAACUUUUGAGUGAGAAGGCUUAAAUGACCUAGAGGGACGAUAAGACCCUAUAAAGUUUAAUAUUACAGCAAUAGAAAAUUAAUUAGGUUAUAAGAUUUGUUAUUGUAGGUAGUAUUUUGUUGGGGCGACAAGAAUAUAAAUAAUUUAACUGUUCUUUUUUGUAUCAAAGAUAUUUGAGUUGAUGAUCUUUUUAAGAGUAAUAGAGUAAAUUACUUUAGGGAUAACAGCGUAAUUUUUUUUGAGAGUUCUUAUCGAUAAAAGAGUUUGCGACCUCGAUGUUGAAUUAAAGAUUCUUUAUAGUGCAGAAGCUAUACAAGAAGGUCUGUUCGACCUUUAAAUCUUUACAUGAUUUGAGUUCAGACCGGUGUGAGCCAGGUUGGUUUCUAUCUA
This 489-nucleotide ribosomal RNA is filed under the name Euastacus yanga. Its description in RNAcentral is "partial 16S ribosomal RNA". It matches the Rfam family "Archaeal large subunit ribosomal RNA", at positions 2020 to 2713 of the family's 2987-position model. Lineage: Eukaryota; Metazoa; Arthropoda; Malacostraca; Decapoda; Parastacidae. The record is from RNAcentral.